Molecule: long non-coding RNA, 875 nt
Organism: Tetranychus urticae (two-spotted spider mite)
Lineage: Eukaryota; Metazoa; Arthropoda; Arachnida; Trombidiformes; Tetranychidae
Source: RefSeq, a predicted model, not a curated record
UUCUUACCUGUCUGAUUACAGUUUGUGUUUUAAUUAAUGUGAAUUGAUUGCCUUUCUCUAGACUUAUUUGUUUAUAUAAUCCUACCUGUUAGACUGAGUAAAGAUAUACAUAAAGAGAGAAAAGGGAAAGUAGGAGAGAGAUUAAAAGUGAACUAUUGUAAAUCAACUGGAUCUAGAAAGUUUCAAUCUAUUCUACCAAAGUGAUAGCUUCUACUGUUUAACUAGUGAUUUAUUUAAUGUAUUUGCUCGCAUAAUUUAUAUCUGUUAUAAUUGUCUACGAGUAAGAAAGGAAAUUUUCACCCAGAUAGGAUAAUAAAGCUUCAACUCGUCAUGGUAUCAGGUUAACAGAUAAUUUAAAACAAUGCGGACCGAUCGUCUGCACCUUUUGGUCUGGACAUCACAUCACUACAGGUACAAUUGUAAAAGUGAAACUAGAAACCUGAUAAUCAUGAUCACUUUUGGUGUGUAAUUCAAUAUUGACGGAUACCAAUAAAAGUUGGUGGCAAUAAGAGUAUAAACUGAUUAAGAGCUGGUCAAUUGAGAUAUAAUGAUGUACAAUUAUCCCAUUCAUAGGAUCCUCACAAGCAGAUGAAGGAUUUUGUCUGAAGCAAUGGGUCCAAAAUAUUUCAUCACCAAAAUAUACCAAAAAAAUAUGAACACACAUUCAUUGCAAGCAAAGUUUCAACUGAUAAAUCUACCUGCGCAUUUAAUAAAACAUAUAUCAUUCUGCAGUAACUAACAAUUUAUGGGUAAAGUGGAUAUAUCACUAAUGGAGGAUGCAACUGAAUCAGCCGGAGAAGGACUUUUAUCACGCUCUGGAACAUUGAGAUAAGCUGUCUCCGAAAGUCGAAGAUCAUCCAUUUCUAUAAAUGUCG